UCCAGCUUAUCGCUGGCGGUCUCCUGCGAGUGCUAUCUUUCGAUGUGGCAACACAGGACAAGGGUUGCGCUCGUUGCAGGACUUAACCCAACAUCUCACGACACGAGCUGACGACAGCCAUGCAGCACCUGUGCUAGCUCCCCGACGGGUCCAUCACCUUUCAGAUCAGUACUACUAGCAUGUCAAGCCCAGGUAAGGUUCUUCGCGUUGCAUCGAAUUAAACCACACGCUCCGCCGCUUGUGCGGGUCCCCGUCAAUUCCUUUGAGUUUUAGCCUUGCGGCCGUACUCCCCAGGCGGGGCACUUAAUGCGUUAGCUGCGGCACGGGGGGAGUCGACACCCCCCACACCUAGUGCCCAUCGUUUACGGCGUGGACUAC
This 378-nucleotide unclassified non-coding RNA is filed under the name uncultured bacterium. RNAcentral's name for it is "contains 16S-23S intergenic spacer region". The record is from RNAcentral.